Long non-coding RNA from Pyrgilauda ruficollis (rufous-necked snowfinch), 2082 nucleotides. RefSeq lists it as uncharacterized. The record is from RefSeq and is a predicted model, not a curated record. NCBI's taxonomy places the organism in Eukaryota, Metazoa, Chordata, Aves, Passeriformes, Passeridae. The transcript has 4 exons.
GGCUCCCGCCGGCUCAGACCGGUUCUCAGCGCAAACAACCGCCCCCCGCCCGCCGGGGCACGGCGGCGGCGAGCCCCCGCUUAUUCCUUCAGAAACACCCGCUUUACCCCCCACAAAACACCCGCUUCUCCCUCGGAAACACCCGCUGUCCCCACCCUCCCGAAAGAGCCGGGCGAGGCGACUCCGCGGCCGCGCCGCCAUUACAGCGGCGGGCGCGCUCCGCCGGCUGAGGCGAGAGAAAGCGGCGGGGUUUCGGAGCGAGAUAAAAAUCUUAUUAUGCAACGCACAUUUUUAAUAGAUUAUUGCCGAGUCCAGGGCUGAGGUAAUGCGGGCUGUCAGCAGCUGGGGCGAGAGGCUGAGGGACAAGCGGGCUGCGGCCGCUCCCUGCCAAGGGCGCCAAGGCACCAUUUCUUCACCAUCCGUGAGGAGAACUUUGAUAUAUCACGUUAUUUUUUUUCCACAGAAGGAUCUGUUUAUGUGGUUACACAUGCACAGCUCCUGAAGGACAGUGCCCAGCAUGAAGUUCCCACCAGUGCUGAACACCCACCGUGUGCCCCAAACACCCCCCAGGGAACACAACUCUGCGGGCUGAGACCAACAGGACAAGACUUGAGUGACCAAGUUCUUAAAUUUCAGAAGAAUGCAUUGUCAUAAAGACCUUAAUAAUACUAUGGCCCCUCAAAAUUGGCCAUUUCCACUUAUAAGAAAGCCUUAAGAGAAUCUCCAACUAGCUAAAAUCCUCAAGACCACGGAAACUACCGGCAAUAAUUAUUCCCAGACAAAAGAAACUGGAUAUAUCACACAGAAAGUGGGAGCACCGAACCAGGGAAAAGGGGAGUAUCGUCUACUUUUCCAUUACUACAACUAGAAAUUGCCAAGAAAAUGAAAUGCUCAAGCACAGCAGACACUGCUUUUCUUCUCAUUAAAUCUUAAAACUUGGUUCCAGUGGGAUCAUAUUUAGUCCUCUCAAAUUCAGAACAGGAUUUCAUCCUGCCUCGACAUCCCAACAAUGACAUUUUAUAAAUAUUACGAGUUUCUUGGACGCCUUUCUCAUUCCACAAGGAGCAGAGAAGCACCAGUAGAGAUUUUUUUUUCUUCCCCUGCUCGAGAUUUUUUUAUUAAACCUUAAAUGUAACCAGCCCUCCUUUCAAUCCAUUUUCUCUAGGAUUUUUUUGAGACCUCUAGAAAUCUCACAGAUUUUUCUGAGCUGUAAUAAGUGUGAAAAAUCUUUGACAAAGAAUUGUCUUUAUUCAAGCAUUAAGCUCUCAUUGAAAGAGGUGCUGGAAAUAAACAAGUGCUUAAAAGCAGCCUAAAAGUUGUCUUAAAUCUUCACCUGCUCUCCAGCUGAGACAGGACCUGGAUUUCUAAAUCCAAGAGGAGAAAACAAUAAUUAAAAGAAGUAAAUAAAUCCUUGCAUGACUCUUUAGACAUGAGGGGGUGGGGCAAUCAGAAGAGGAGACACUGAUUUCCUCAUCUUCUGUACACUCUCCGUGGGUGUCAGCCCAUCUCACCCUUCCAGAAGGUUCAACAUUCAAGGUAUUUUGUAAAGCCAAGCAAACACAGAGCUAUUGCAGAACCAAGGAAACGCAUCCCCAGGAAUUGCAAACUUGGAUUAUUUUCUUUUAAUUCUUCCAAGUCUACAAAUUUUGCUGUGAGGCAGCAGUGCGAGAAAUGAGAAGGUGAUAAAUCAACCUUGUGAAUGUCAGGCAGUGUCAGGGAGCAAGAAGAAACAGAACAACACCACUCAUCAUUUCCCAAAGUAUGUUGAAGUGUGGUCUGUAAAAAGUAGCUGACCUUAAAAUCUUUUUCUCUCACUGAAGCAAAUAAAAGUGACCCCAUUCUCCAGGCACAACAGGCAGCAAGGCCUUGUGUCCGUACAUCCCUGCUCUGCCCAGCCACCAUCUUACACAUGCUGCAUGGAUCCACCAUGGGAAACAACGAACAGCACCAGCGUUCCCCUCAGAACCCUUGGUGCCAACUGAGCCUUCUGACAUUUCACUGCAGCUCGUUCUACCUCAGCGACCAAAGCUUCGCCAGGGAACAACUCCUCAGGCUCGCACCUCGUGAAACGACCCGCACAGC